GAUGAACGCUGACAGAAUGCUUAACACAUGCAAGUCAACUUGAACUUCGGUUUGGGUGGCGGGACGGGUGAGUAACGCGUAAAGAACUUGCCUCACAGCUAGGGACAACAUUUGGAAACGAAUGCUAAUACCUGAUAUUAUGAUUUUAGGGCAUCCUAGGAUUAUGAAAGCUAUAUGCGCUGUGAGAGAGCUUUGCGUCCCAUUAGCUAGUUGGAGAGGUAACGGCUCACCAAGGCGAUGAUGGGUAGCCGGCCUGGGAGGGUGAUCGGCCACAAGGGGACUGAGACACGGCCCUUACUCCUACGGGAGGCAGCAGUGGGGAAUAUUGGACAAUGGACCAAGAGUCUGAUCCAGCAAUUCUGUGUGCACGAUGAAGUUUUUCGGAAUGUAAAGUGCUUUCAGUUGGAAGAAAAAA
Molecule: ribosomal RNA, 415 nt
Filed under: Fusobacterium periodonticum
Lineage: Bacteria; Fusobacteriati; Fusobacteriota; Fusobacteriia; Fusobacteriales; Fusobacteriaceae
Description: bacterial SSU rRNA
Rfam family: Bacterial small subunit ribosomal RNA
Source: RNAcentral